RNAcentral lists this ribosomal RNA (619 nucleotides) under uncultured Russula. RNAcentral's name for it is "eukaryotic LSU rRNA". The stretch from base 165 to 318 matches the Rfam family "5.8S ribosomal RNA". Lineage: Eukaryota; Fungi; Basidiomycota; Agaricomycetes; Russulales; Russulaceae. The record is from RNAcentral.
GACCUUCAAAGGUCGUGCACGCCCGAGCGCUCUCUCACACAUCCAUCUCACCCUUUGUGCAUCACCGCGCGGGUCCUUCUCACGGAGGGCUCGCGUCAUUCACAUAAAACUCGAUACAGUAUAGAAUGUUUUCUUUUUUGUUUGCAGUCACAUGCAAUCAAUACAACUUUCAACAACGGAUCUCUUGGCUCUCGCAUCGAUGAAGAACGCAGCGAAAUGCGAUACGUAAUGUGAAUUGCAGAAUUCAGUGAAUCAUCGAAUCUUUGAACGCACCUUGCGCCCCUUGGCAUUCCGAGGGGCACACCCGUUUGAGUGUCGUGAAAUCAUCAAAACCCUUUUCUUUUGGAAAGGGAUUUUGGACUUGGAGGUUUGAUGCUUGCUUUCACUUUUGAAAGCGAGCUCCUCUCAAAUAAAUCAGUGGGGUUUGCUUUGCCGAUCCUCGACGUGAUAAGAUGUUUCUACGUUUUGGACUUGGCACUGUGCCCGCUUCUAACCGUCCCACGGACAAACGAUGGUGCUCCGGUCACCGCCAUUCACAUCGGCGGGAGGCUGGACCCACAAAAAAAAAACCUUGACCUCAAAUCGGGUGAGACUACCCGCUGAACUUAAGCAUAUCAAU